ACGGAAGGCAGCAGUGGGGAAUAUUGCACAAUGGGGGAAACCCUGAUGCAGCGACGCCGCGUGAGCGAAGAAGUAUUUCGGUAUGUAAAGCUCUAUCAGCAGGGAAGAAAAUGACGGUACCUGACUAAGAAGCCCCGGCUAACUACGUGCCAGCAGCCGCGGUAAUACGUAGGGGGCAAGCGUUAUCCGGAUUUACUGGGUGUAAAGGGAGCGUAGACGGCAAGGUAAGUCUGAAGUGAAAUGCCGGGGCUUAACCCCGGAACUGCUUUGGAAACUAUCUCGCUCGAGUACCGGAGGGGUAAGCGGAAUUCCUAGUGUAGCGGUGAAAUGCGUAGAUAUUAGGAGGAACACCAGUGGCGAAGGCGGCUUACUGGACGGUAACUGACGUUGAGGCUCGAAAGCGUGGGGAGCAAACAGGAUUAGAUACCCUGGUA
This 434-nucleotide ribosomal RNA is filed under the name uncultured Lachnospiraceae bacterium. RNAcentral describes it as "bacterial SSU rRNA". It matches the Rfam family "Bacterial small subunit ribosomal RNA", at positions 341 to 792 of the family's 1533-position model. The record is from RNAcentral. Lineage: Bacteria; Bacillati; Bacillota; Clostridia; Lachnospirales; Lachnospiraceae.